RNAcentral lists this ribosomal RNA (476 nucleotides) under uncultured bacterium. Its description in RNAcentral is "bacterial SSU rRNA". It matches the Rfam family "Bacterial small subunit ribosomal RNA", at positions 328 to 793 of the family's 1533-position model. The record is from RNAcentral.
CGCUAUCACUCCUACGGGGAGGCAGCAGUGGGGAAUAUUGGACAAUGGGGGAAACCCUGAUCCAGCAAUGCCGCGUGUGUGAAGAAGGCCUUCGGGUUGUAAAGCACUUUCAAUAGGGAGGAAAGCUAUGCGUUAAUAGCGUAUAGCCGUGACGUUACCUAUAGAAGAAGCACCGGCUAACUCCGUGCCAGCAGCCGCGGUAAUACGGAGGGGUGCAAGCGUUAAUCGGAAUUACUGGGCGUAAAGCGCGCGUAGGCGGUUUGCUAAGUCAGAUGUGAAAUCCCCGGGCUCAACCUGGGGAAUGGCAUUUGAGACUGGUAGGCUAGAAUGUGGUAGAGGUGAGUGGGAAUUCCAGGUGUAGCGGUGAAAUGCGUAGAGAUCUGGAGGAACAUCAGUGGCGAAGGCGACUCACUGGGCCAUUAUUGACGCUGAGGUGCGAAAGCGUGGGUAGCAAACAGGAUUAGAUACCCUGGUAG